Molecule: long non-coding RNA, 578 nt
Organism: Mercenaria mercenaria
Lineage: Eukaryota; Metazoa; Mollusca; Bivalvia; Venerida; Veneridae
Exons: 2
Source: RefSeq, a predicted model, not a curated record
AUGAAAUAUUUUUAUCAGUUUUGUGCUCAUUUUCAAGACUGUGAGAACAAGUAAUUAUUCUAUAUUAUUUAAAUAAUAAUUCGACACCAAAUAGUUGUUUAACUUAGAACAGCAUUUCAUUCUCUUAUCAGUCCGACCAGAAUCCAACGUCGUAUAGACAUCUAAAUCUAACGUCGACUAGACGUCGUGAAUAUGACGUUGAACAGACGUUGUAUUUUGGUCGCCAACGUCGCGACCAAAAUCCAAAGUUGUUUCAACGUUGUGUCGACGUCAGGUGUUUGCUGGUUAUAGACUCUAGCAGUAAUGACCACAGCAGAAAUCGUAGCUAUGUUGUCAAGUGAUGAUGUGAUUUGUACUAGACAACAUAACAUACAGCAGUGGAACAGAGACAGACUUAUUUAACAGUUCAAAAUAUUAGACUCUGAUUUAGUCAAAUAAGACGGGUUUAACAAUCACGUGCACUACAUGACAAUUUUCCGCUUUAUAGAGGGAACACGACUCAAUGCAUGAUUUUGUCAUAGUGAUGAAUUAUAAUACAAAAAAAAAAACGAUUAAAUAAACUCGCAUCAAAACUUGAA